Drosophila eugracilis is the source of this 1443-nucleotide RNA transcript. It is a transcript of the gene named aquaporin AQPAn.G, with no coding region annotated. Lineage: Eukaryota; Metazoa; Arthropoda; Insecta; Diptera; Drosophilidae. The record is from RefSeq and is a predicted model, not a curated record. The transcript is spliced from 6 exons.
AAAGCGGUCGCGCAGUUUUUGUCGUCGAGUCAAAGUGCGCGGAUCGCUCGAGGAGCGAAACUCUCUAUAUUCCUGCCAAAAUUCAAUUAAAUAUUUGUUAAGUGCAAGUUUAGGUGUUAGUUGUUGUUGCCGCGUUGCCAAGUUCGUAAGCAGGUGCAAAGGUGCCAAAGUGAGCUAAUAACAAAACAAGUCUGCCAGUUUUAGUUGGAAAGCAAAGCGGAAAAGAUGGGAAAGUUCGAGUAUUCACUGGGUCUCAAUGAGCUCAAGUCCAAGGAGCUGCGUUUGUGGCAGGCCCUGAUCGGAGAGUUCCUGGGCAAUCUGAUCCUCAAUUUCUUUGCCUGCGGUGCAUGCACUCAAAUUGAGGAUGGAACCUUUAAGGCCCUGGCUUUUGGCCUGGCCAUCUUCAUGGCCAUAACGAUUGUUGGCCACUUGAGUGGCGGACAUGUGAAUCCUGCUGUUACCGCUGGCAUGUUGGUUGCUGGACGAAUCAGCGUGAUCAGAGCGUUCUUCUAUGUCAUAUUCCAGUGUCUGGGUUCCAUUGCUGGAACGGCAGCUGUUAAGACCCUCAUCGAUGCCGACUACUACAAUGGCUUGGGUCACACCUCGUUGGCGAACAACAUCACGGAACUGCAGGGCCUGGGAAUCGAGUUCUUCCUGGGACUUCUGCUGGUUCUCGUUGUCUUCGGAGCCUGUGAUCCCAACAAGCCCGACUCUCGUUACACGGCACCCCUGGCCAUUGGCAUGGCAGUGACUUUGGGUCAUUUGGGUACCAUUCGGUACACCGGAGCCAGCAUGAAUCCAGCCCGUACAGUGGGCACUGCCUUUGCCACCGAUAUCUGGACAUCUCACUGGGUAUACUGGGUGGGACCAGUGCUGGGAGGUGUGGCUGCUGCCCUGCUGUACACACAGGUCCUGGAGGCGAAACCAGUGCCGAAGGUGAACGAGGCAUCGGAGAAGUACCGAACGCACGCCGAUGAACGUGAGGUGAGAGUCAGGUUGAUAAGCGCAUGGAGCGAGGAGUCAUUCUACUGAUCAGUGAUCACAGAUCAAUGAUCUCAUCUAUUCAUUACACACACACACACACAUAGAAACACCUCUCACACACUCACUAACUGCAUUAUGCGCAAACUGGAGGGAGCCCGCGACUAUGCCUAAGUCUAAGGAUAUCAAAGCGACUCGAAUCUAGAAAUAGAGAGAGGGAGAGAGUGGAGAUUUAUUCGUUUAAUCCAUUCAUUUCAGUGUCUAUCAUAUACUUAUGUCGUGUACUUCCCCGUUCGUGCGUAUUUAUGUAUUUAUGUAUUUAUUCAUGAAAAGUUCAUUUUUUAAUUAACUAAUAUGUAAACGUGUAAGCUGCCCCAAAAAAAAAAAAGAAAUGCAAUCUACAAAGCUAAAUUACUUGUACUCUCAAGCGUUCACAAUAAAGUGGAAAACAUUAACUGAAAA